RNAcentral lists this long non-coding RNA (1311 nucleotides) under Equus asinus (donkey). RNAcentral describes it as "lncRNA (ENSEASG00005032128.1)". The record is from RNAcentral. Lineage: Eukaryota; Metazoa; Chordata; Mammalia; Perissodactyla; Equidae.
GCAAAGGAGAGGGCUUUCAGCAGGGGCAUACCACGACCUGAGUCGUAGUUCAUAAAGAUCAUGCUGGCUACUGCACUAGAAUAAGUAGACUGCACAAAUCACGCUGUUAGACUAAGGGAGCAGGAGUGGAAGCAGAGGGACAGUGGUCCAGGUGAGAGAUGAUAAUGGAUUUGACUGAGGUGAUAGCGUGGGGGUGGUGACAAGUGGUUGAAUUCACCAUACAUUUGGAAGGUAGAGCUGAUAGGACCUACCUGAUGGAUAAGAUGUGGAGUGUGAAGGGAUGACUCCCGGUUUUUGUCCUAAACAGCUGGACAAAUGGUUGUUUGCCAUGGUGGUGCCGUUUGCUCAGGAGGGGAAGACCCGGGGAGGAGUGAGUGUGUGGGGGAAUCAAGAGUUCUGUUGGAGACAUUACAAUGUUGAGAUGCACGCUACACAUCCAAAUGGACCUGCUGAGGGGGCGGUAGAGUUCAGGGGAGAAGUCCUAUCGGGAUAUUCGGAAGUCAUCAGCAUCCAGAUGGCAUUUAAAGGGAUGGAGUGGGUGAUACCACCCAGGAGCAGUGGGGAGAGAAGAGUUGAGCUUAAUAGAACAAGCAGCACAUCCUCACGUUAUUCUCUAAAGGAGUCGCUCUCAAACUUUAGUGCAUAUGGGAUUCAUCUGCAACUUGAUCACCUGUAACUUGUUUACUAAGCAGGUCCCUGGCAACUGGCAUUCAGAAAUUCUGGGCCUUGAGAAGCUUAGGAAGACAAGCUCCCCCAGGUGAUUCUGCUACAGGAGGACAAAGGGAGAAGAGGGCCAUUUGCAAGCCAGGAAGAGAUCCCUCAUCAAGAACUCAAUCCUCUGGUGCCUUGAUCUUGGACUCCCCAGCCUCCAGAACUGUGAGAAACAAAUGUCUGCUGUUUAUGCCACCCAGUCCACGGUAUUCUAUUAUGGCGGCCCAAGCUGACGAGGACAGCCUCAUACUCAGUUUCUCUGCUUCUCACCUCCCUCCUUUGCGUGGAAUGUUAGUUUCUUUCAUGGCACUUAUCACUGACUGUUAUAAUAUAGUUGUUAGCCUGUUUAUCAGCUUGAUGUUCAUCUUCAUAACCAGAUGGCCCCCUCCAUGAAGCCGUGCCUCUUUUGGUCACCCCUCUGGACCCAGGGCUGAGUGCCAUGCCUGGCACAUUGUAGGUGCUUAAUAGUAUGCUUCUUGAAGAAAUGAAAUGCUGACUACAAUACACGCCUCCAACCAGUCUCCCUGCAUCCCGUCUUGUCCCUUCUGACUCAUGCCUUACCCUUUGGCCAAGGUUAUCUUUAUAAAACAUUAAUUUCAC